RNAcentral lists this ribosomal RNA (396 nucleotides) under uncultured bacterium. RNAcentral describes it as "partial 16S ribosomal RNA". It matches the Rfam family "Bacterial small subunit ribosomal RNA", at positions 338 to 731 of the family's 1533-position model. The record is from RNAcentral.
CCUACGGGAGGCAGCAGUGAGGAAUAUUGGUCAAUGGGCGCGAGCCUGAACCAGCCAAGUAGCGUGAAGGAUGACUGCCCUACGGGUUGUAAACUUCUUUUAUAAAGGAAUAAAGUGCGGCACGUGUGCCUUUCUGUAUGUACUUUAUGAAUAAGGAUCUGCUAACUCCGUUCCAGCCGCCGCGGUAAUACGGAGGAUCCGAGCGUUAUCCGGCUUUAUUGGGUUUAAAGGGAGCGUAGAUGGGUUGUUAAGUCAGUUGGGAAAGUUUGCGGCUCAACCGUCAAAGUGCAAUUGAAACUGGCAGUCUUGAGUGCGGUUGAGGUAGGCGGAAUUCGUGGUGUAGCGGUGAAAUGCUUAGAUAUCACGCAGAACGCCGAUUGCGAAGGCAGCUUACUA